GAUCAUGGCUCAGGGCGAACGCUGGCGGCGCGCCUAACACACGCAAGUCGAACGAGCGAGAGGAGGUUUACUUUCUCAAGCGAGUGGCGAACGGGUGAGUAACGCGUGAGGAACCUGCCUCAAAGAGGGGGACAACAGUUGGAAACGACUGCUAAUACCGCAUAAGCCCACGACCCGGCAUCGGGUAGAGGGAAAAGGAGCAAUCCGCUUUGAGAUGGCCUCGCGUCCGAUUAGCUAGUUGGUGAGGUAAUGG
Molecule: ribosomal RNA, 253 nt
Filed under: uncultured bacterium
Lineage: Bacteria
Description: partial 16S ribosomal RNA
Rfam family: Bacterial small subunit ribosomal RNA
Source: RNAcentral